GAGGCUAGGGUCGGCGGUGCGCUGGGUGGCCGGGGUGGCCGUGGACUGCGCUGAGCGGUGGGUGGGUGGAGCCGGGCACGGUGCUAACCGCCGUGAGUGGAACGCCCGGCGCGGCGGGGGCACCGCGGGCGGGGUGGCUGUGAGGACAGUAAUCCGGUGGCUCAGACAGGCGAGGCCAGCCUAGCCCAGGACGUAUUUAGUGGAAGAUAUGGUCAAACCGCUAGCAGUAGAGCCCACCUUCGCCUCAAAUAAGUACGAAACGCCUCCUGCUUGUUUUCUAAGAAUUAGGCAUUUCCAUGCGCCCUAGGAUUAUCCAGGUCACUGCAGUGGCCUCGAAUCAGAGACGCGUGGCCAGCCAGCGUCGCGUCCCUGCCCUACCCUUGUAGCAUGGGUUCUAGUUAAGUCCUUACUCUCGCUCAGGCUGGGAGACUUUCUCCCUCUUUGUCUCUUUGACCUUGAUCUUUCUGAGGCAUGCAAGCCAUAAGUGUACACACCGAUGCAUCCCCAUGGUUAGAUUAGGUUAUGCACUUUGGCAGGAGCAUCAGGGUGCUAAAUUCGCAGAAUCCUGUCAGGAGGCAAGGGUAUUCCUUUGUUAUUACUAUCCUAUGAGAAGGCAGUUUAGAUUUUGCAACUAUCCCGUCACUCCUCAAGCUCUUGAAAUUUUUAUUGAGGUAUUCUUGAUUUAUGAUACAUGAGUAAGGUGUACAACACAAUGAUUCACUAUUUUUAAAGAUUGUGCUCCAUUUAUAGUUAUUAUAAAAUAUUGAUUAUAUUCCCUAUGCUGUACAAUAUAUCCUUUUAGCUUAAGUAUUUUAUAAUUUGUACCUCUUAAUCCCUUACUCUUAUUUUGCCCCUCUCGCCUUUCCCUCUCCUCACUGAUAACUACUAGUUUGUUCUCUUUAUCUCUUUAUCUACUAUUAAAAGUGAUAACAUAUACUAUUUGUCUGACUUAUUUAGUAUGAUACACUAGGUUCAUCCAUGUUGUUGCAAAUGGCAAAAUUCCAUUUUAUAUAUAUACACCACAUAAUCUUUAUUAUCUGUUAAUGGACAUUUAGGUUUCUGUAACUUGGCUAUUGUAAAUAAUGCUGCUAUGAAUAUUGGGGUGCAUGUAUCUUUUCAAAUUAGUAUUUUCCUUGGAUAUAUAUCCAGGAGUGGAAUUAAUGGAUCAUAUGAUGGUUCAAUUUUUAGUUUUUUGAGGAACCUUCAUACUGUUUUCCACAGUGGCUGCACCAACUUAACAUUCCUACCAACAGUGUACAAGGGUUCUCUUCUCCAUGUCCUCACCAACUUGUUAUUUGUGGCCUUUUGAUGAUGGCCAUUCUAGAUGUGUGAGGUGAUAUCUCAUUGUGGUUUUGAUUUGCAUUUUUUUGAUAACUAGCAAUGUUGAACACCUUUAAAUGGGCCUGUUAGCCAUCCAUAUAUCUUCCUUGGAGACCUUCUAUUCAGGUCUCCAGCCUAUUUUUUUAAUCGGUGGUUUGUUUUUUCGAUAUUGAGUUGUAUGAGUUCCUCAAACUUUCCACCAGUUUCCAUUGAUAUUUCUUGCCUAAAUGAAUUACCAUUAUACUUUUUUUUCUGUUUUCAUCAUUCCUUCUGUACUUAUUCCACUUCGUCGAAAGAUAUUUCAUUCAUUAGUGGUAUGGAUUUGUGGGUUCUUAUUUUACCUAAUGAGUUACAAUCCAUUACUCUCCUUAUUCACUUAAAUGUUCAAAUAUGGCACAUGUGGCCAGUAGGAGCUCGUCCAGCUGGCUCUGUGUCCUUUCAACAUGCCAUGAUUUUUGAGCAUUUUCUGACUUUCUAGCAAAGUUGUUCCAGUAUUGUCUUGUACUCUCUGUCCCAGACCUGGAAUCAACCAUUUCUCCAAGGAGCCCUGAUUCCUUUCAGUGGUUUGAUUUGUAUGAGGAAAAACUGGCAUAAUUUUACUUGUGAAAUUUAAAAAAAUUCAGCAGGUUAAGGAUCCGGUUUUGUCACUGAAGCAGCUUGGGUCACUGCUAUGGCGUGGAUUCCAUCCCUGGCUUGGGAAGUUCUACAUGCCCCAGGUAUGGCCAAAAAAAUUCAAUAAAAAUUUUAAAUUAAAAAAAAAUUGUAGGGCAAUACUCCUACCCAUAGUAGGAGUAGGAUGUCCAGUCAGCCUGUCUGACCUGGCUUUUGCACAGAGAGCACCAAGUCCUAGGAGACCAUCAGGCCUAGGUGCAUCAUUUAGUCUAAGUGGGUGAGAUCAUAGAGGAAAGCAGGGAGAAGGAACAAGCCUUGUUUGAGCAAGGUUAACGUGGGAGGAAGGAAUGGUGAGAAGUGGUGGCCCCUUCUGACCCAAGCUGGCCAAACUCAAAACCCUGCCCCCUCCACACCUUCAUGUGGGGUUGGCCUGAGGAGGGAGAGGGGGAAAAGGCUGUGGGAAUCUGGUGCAGGCAUUGACCGUGGAGCUUAAAAUGGAAACAGAGUGAUUGUGGAAGGGGACAAGCAGUGAUUCUCCUAGGUGCUGGGGACAGAGGGCCUGUCACCAGAGGAGCCAUGAUGGGUGAUAGUGUUGGGAGGACAGGCAUCAGGACAGGGUUUAGGAGACCCAAAGAAUGCAUAGAAAGUGGCUGGUCAGGCUGCUGGUAUAAGGGAUUGGCAAGAUAGGAAGCAGGGCCACUGCUUGUUAGGAUCCAACUAGGCCUCCAAUAUUGCCAGUUACUUGACCUCCAUCAUCUCAUUGAAUCCUCCCAACACCCCAGGAGGUGGGAAUUAUGCUCUCUGAUUUACAAAAGAGGAAACAGGCUCAGGACAAAAUUCUUCCCACCACCUUGGACUUCUUACACCCCUCAUUUGAUCUGCCAAUCUGUAUGUAAAUGACAGAUCCAGCCUCAGCCUCCAGCCCUCCCAACUGUGGUUCCCUCUGUAGCUUGAACCUUAUUGCCUUCUACCUGAACUAUUUACUCACUUCCCCACUAGCCUUCCCCCAACCCCCUCACCCUAUCUUUUCUCUCACAGCAGCAGAAGGCUCUUCAGACCCAAGGCAGGUCACAUGCCCUUACUCAAAACCCUUUUGGUAUUUUCAGGCUGUUAAAAUAACACCACAAUUGGGAGGCUUAUAAGCAAGCCUUAUUUCUCAAGGUACUAGAAGUCCAAGAUCAUGGUGCCAGCAGAUUCAGCAUCUAGUGAGAACCUCCAGUGAACCCGCUUCCUCUUCUCUCACAUGGCAGGAGAGCUCCAGGAGGGACCAUGCCUCAGAAGUCUCCUGACCGACACCAGGGGCUCAGGACACCAGUGGAGACCGCCCGUACUUACUAUCCCCCACUCCCUGGACUCUACACCCCUCCCUGGGAUGGACAAUAUGAGGGAAUGGAGGCAGCUUUGGCAGACUGGGAUGCCAGAGAACAUCCAUGGUGCCCCUCCCCAAGAACAACUGGGUGACCCUUGGCCUAGGGACAAAGGCCUUGGUUAUCUCGCCGACCACUGCAUGCCCAUCCCUAGCACAGUGCCUUGCAUGUGCAAUCGAGGACAGGUCCAGACCCGCAGAGGACUCUGGUCAGGAACGCAUCUCUUGCCCAAAAGAACAAGUCUGGUGCAGUCUCGUGUGGAGAGGACUCGGGUGAACAGCCAGAGAAGCCGAGUGGAAGAGAAUGUGGAAAAGUGGAGGAGAAUGAGGUAAGCAUGUGAGGAAAGGGAAAAACAGGGCAGCUCAUAGAUGCUUGUCCUAUCAGGUUUUCCAUACUCACUAGAAAGAUGAAGGUGAUGUUAGCAGAAUGUGAAACUAUGAAGAAGUGAAAUACAGCUGAUUUUUCUCUGCCCAGGUAAGAAUGGACUCUGUAUACAUGUCUGAGCAAUGAAUUGUGUAACUUCAGGAAUUAUGCACAUGAACUGAAGGUUCUUAUAUUUGCAUUUAAAACUGGCAUCACACAAAAUAAAGAUAAAUGGUACAAUUCACACCAUUAUUUUAUUUUAUUUUAUUUUAUUUUGGCUGCAUCCGCAGCAUAUGGAAAUUUCCAGGCCAGGAAUUGACUCCAAGCCAUAGCUGCAACCUACACCAUAGCAGAGAUAAUGCCGGCUCCUUAACCUGCUGUCCCAUGGCAGGAACUCACAUACUAUAAUUUUAAAUUUUAAUUUUCUUAGAAUGACAUUAAAAAGCAAGUAAAAACAAGAGAGAGAACACACACAAAAAAAAGCACUUUCUGUGUUCGUACCUUUUACAGCACUUUUUCACUGCUAGCUGCGUAAGAGAUUACACGUUCAUUUGUACUGCAACAGUUAUGUUGUAGACCCGGUAUGUGGAGAAAGGAGAAAUAAAGUCAGGAAAGCUUCAUUGUGGAGGUAACAUUUGACCUGCGUCUGGAAAAUAAUUAGGGGUCUCCAGGUAGAAAUAAACAGAAGGAACAACAAAAACUCCUUUCAGGGGAUAUAAACAUGAGCCUUGGCCAUUUGGGCUGUGCCAUAUUGGGAUUUAUAAGAAAUCACCAAUGGCCAAUAAUUUAAUCAAUCACAAAGACUCUGGGAACCCCUGGUGUCUCUUCUUGUAAAGGUAUAAUACCACGAUGAGGGUCACAGUUACGAUCUCAUCUAAACUUAAUUAUCUUCCAAAGGCCCCAUCUCCACAUAGCAUCAUCACAUUGGAGGUGAGGGUUUCAAUGUGUGAGUAUGAGGCAGGGCAAAAGCCAGUCCACAGCAACAUGCAUGCAGUGUCUGGGGACUAGUGGCUGGGUUUGUAUGAUGAGAGUAGGUACUGAAUAGGUAGGUAGAAGCUGGAACAAAGCUAGUGUCAGGUUUAAAGUACCUCUCUACUGUGCUAAGAUUUAAACUUCAUGUUAGAAAAUUGGAGGAGUUCCCAUUGUGGCUAAAGUGGGUUAAGAACCCAACUAGUAUCCCUGAGGAUGCGAGCUUGAUCCUUGGCCUCACUCAGUGGGUUAAGGAUAUGGCAUUGCUGCAGACUGGCAUAGACUGAAGCUUGGAUCCCGAGUUGCUGUGGCUGUGGUGUAGGCCGGUAGCUGUAGCUCUGAUUCAACCCCUAGCCUGGGAACUUCUAUAUGCCACACGAGUGGCCCUAAAAAGCCAAAAAAAAAAAAAAAAAAAGAAAAAAAAAAA
This 5058-nucleotide long non-coding RNA is filed under the name Sus scrofa (pig). RNAcentral's name for it is "lncRNA (ENSSSCG00030047007.1)". The record is from RNAcentral. Lineage: Eukaryota; Metazoa; Chordata; Mammalia; Artiodactyla; Suidae.